UACUAGUGUAUUAAAUAAACCCAUACAGAUAUUCUUGCUUGCAAUAUUGCCACCUAGUCAAAAUUUUACGACGGAGUGGAAAGUUGCUGUGGAAAACCUCAAGGCAAAUGCAACACAUUUAUGUUCCCAAAUGCUUUGUCAUUAUGUAAAAGAUUUAAAGCGUGGCAACUCUUGACUGGAACAUAUGUACAUAUAAACGUUUUCCAAUGCACGAUACACAAGCGAACAGAAUUUAUUCUGCACUGAUACACACAUGCGUAUGUCCGAAACUAAUCGCUUGGGUUUUUGCGACCAUUUAGGUUAUGCACACUUAGGUUAUGUCAGAAAGUUUCGCUUUUGAUCGUAUUGAGUCCGCAUUCAACAUUAUUAUUUUACAACAUUGUACAUUAUUUUACUUCAAUUGAGAACAUUAUAAUACCAACGCAUAAGAUUAUACUUCGUACAUUCUAUCCGUGGUGGGCUGUUGGAAAUCUUUUUGUUUUAAUGACAAAGCGCUUGUUUUCGGAUGAGUACGCACACAAAAACAUUCACUACUCGUGCUAAUUCAUUUUAACACACACGAUUUAAAUAAAAAGUAACAAUACGAUGCUCUCACUCGCACUUCGCCUGGAUCACGACACUCUUCUAGGUAGUUGACCGAUAUUUCCUUAAACCAAUCGAUAUUAAUCAAUCUUAGGUAAUACCCAGCUUACACAAUUUCCUAAAAUGAGUGCUGUGACCCGUUCACACCGAAGAAAAAGGUCAAGCACAACAGAAGGAAUAAUUCAUACAAAUAAAUUAGCUUCCUUGAUAUAAUUCAAAUCAGAGCUGUUUUAAAAAAGCUCUAACUUAUACAACUCUCGGCCAUUUCUAACAUUCAAAGGAAAUUUCGGACAUUGAUACAAUACAGUGAGAUAACAAGCAUCUAUAAACGUUAAAGCCUUAUUGAAGCGAGAAAUGAAACAGGUUUGGAAAAUCCGAAUAAAUGUGAUCACUUCGGAAAUGAAAAUUAGACAGGUCCGAGGAGGUGUGAUUAUUUUGGCAGAUUUAAAAUUAACUUUAAAUAACUGAAACGCGCAUAGUUUGCAAAACAUUCGUGCAAGCUACUAGGUACGACCGACCAACAAUUUUCCGUUUUUGUAAAAGACUGAAGUUAAAGAAUGAAAACUAUUCAUUUAAUAAUAUGUUACUUAUUUUAUUAAAUCUAUGUUAAAAAAUUACACCUUAAUAAAAUUAUGCUUAUAUAAAGACUUACGGCCGAUCAACAUUAAUAUGUACGUUUUGGUGUUUUUGCCUUGAAGUCAAAUGAAAUUAUGUUUUAAAGAAACUGCUCUCCUUCGACUAUCUAUGAGAUUUAUAUAGGUUUUACCAAUUACUGAGAAAAUCGAAACCCUUAGGCAUUUUUAGUUCAGGAGAUAACAGUUUUGUAUUUUCGUCAUGACGUACAUCUUUAAAUUCGUUUUCAUAAU
Long non-coding RNA from Drosophila simulans, 1448 nucleotides. RefSeq lists it as uncharacterized. The transcript is spliced from 2 exons. The record is from RefSeq and is a predicted model, not a curated record. NCBI's taxonomy places the organism in Eukaryota, Metazoa, Arthropoda, Insecta, Diptera, Drosophilidae.